GGGGUUAUAGCUCAGUUGGUAGAGCACCACGCUGGCAGCGUGGGGGUCAGGAGUUCGAAUCUCCUUAGCUCCA
This 73-nucleotide transfer RNA is filed under the name Fibrobacter sp. Its description in RNAcentral is "tRNA-Ala". It matches the Rfam family "tRNA". Rfam says of the family: Transfer RNA (tRNA) molecules are approximately 80 nucleotides in length. The record is from RNAcentral. RNAcentral also lists the same sequence under 3 other names. Lineage: Bacteria; Pseudomonadati; Fibrobacterota; Fibrobacteria; Fibrobacterales; Fibrobacteraceae.